GGCUCGCGGAGGGCAGGCGGUGUGGGACCGGGCGGAGGGGGCCGCGGCGAUGGCGCCAGACGCGCAGAGCCGGGAAGGCGAAGGCCGGAGCCUCCGGGCCGUGCUGCUGGGGCCGCCCGGGGCGGGCAAGGGCACCCAGGCUCCUAAGCUUGCUGAAACAUACUGUGUUUGCCACCUGGCAACAGGUGACAUGCUGAGGGCCAUGGUGGCUUCAGGAUCGGAGCUGGGUAAAAGGUUGAAGGAGACUAUGGAUGCUGGGAAGCUGGUGAGUGAUGAGAUGGUGGUGGAACUUAUUGAGAAAAACCUGCAGACUCCUCCCUGCAAAAAUGGCUUCCUGCUGGAUGGUUUCCCUCGCACAGUGAAGCAGGCGGAGAUGCUGGAUGAGCUCAUGGAGAAGAGAAGUGAGAAGCUAGAUUCUGUGAUUGAAUUCAGCAUUGCUGACUCCUUACUCAUCCGGAGGAUCACUGGACGGCUGAUCCACCCAGCAAGUGGCCGCUCUUACCAUGAGGAGUUCAACCCCCCUAAAGAGCACAUGAAGGACGAUGCCACUGGGGAGCCCUUGAUCCGCCGUUCUGACGAUACCGAAGUGGCUUUGAAAACUCGUCUGAAGUCCUACCACACGCAGACCACCCCGCUGGUAGACUACUACACCAAACGAGGGAUCCAUACGGCCAUAGAUGCCUCCCAGUCCCCCGACGUGGUGUUUGCCAGCAUCUUGGCAGCCUUCUCAAAAGCCACAUGUAAAGACCUGGUUAUGUUUGUUUAGGGCACAGCUAGUGCAGCGCACUCCCUUUUCCUGUGGGGUCAGGGGGAGGAAAGGCCAAUUAGAGAGCGGAAGGAGGGGGGAUGACAGCCUGAGAGGAGGCUGGGCAAAGUGUCCAUUAAACAAGCAGUUGCUGGUCUAUUUUUCUGGCCUAUCUGAACAUGCUUGUAUGUUUCUGUAUACCUGUGUGAGAGAGAAUAUAGCCUGUAGGGGGCGCAGUGAGCUAAUGUACCGGCCAUUUGCUGCUAACAACAUGUUUACAUCCAGUCGGGUCAAAAGUGAAAGUUUGGUUUCUUCUAAAGAGUCCUAGUUAAUGGGAAAACAGCUGACUUUUCACUGUUCAGUCUGUUUGGCUGGGACCCAGUUUGGGACUAGCAGGAGUACUGGAGGUCAUGGCUGAUCUCGGGGGUGGGAAGCUUGCAAUACACAGCUCAGUGACUCCAUAGGCCAGACAAGACACCACCAAAGGCUGCAUGCUCCAUCACCUCACUCCAUCCCUUCCCCUUGGGAGAAAGGGAGGGCUGGGAGGGAUGGUGGUGGGGGUCACGGCUGCUCAGAGGAAAGGAGGGGAAGAAGGAGAAGGCAGAGUGGUUUGUUUCUCAUCAGAAUCAUGUUCAAGAGGAGAUUGAUCUUCUUUAAUUUAAAAAAAAAAAAAAGAGAGACACAAGUGUUUGGGGAGGAAGAACACAUUGUAUUGGCACAGAAAUCCAUUUUCAUACAAAGAUCAGACUCCUGAGCCUUUGCCCUGCGAUGAGUGUUGGACUUGGUGCAAUUUCAAGCUUCCAAAUGGGACUCCUGGUACUGCCAUUGCUUGGUAGCUCUGCAUGGUUUCUUUUUUCUCUAAGGUCAUUGUAGAAUUUGUUUUUCUGCUUCCUCAACUUAAUUCCCCUAUUGUAGGACCAAAAUGAAUAUGUGAAAUGACUUCUGUAAUGGAGAAAAUAGCUGACUAAAUUGUACUUCCCUCGUUUCCUGGAUAUUUUGGCCUUCCUAAAACAAGGCAAAGGUGGUCUGAGGAGCUUUCUGCUCCUGUGUGAUGCCAUCAGGGACCUGAACUCGAGCCCAAGCCUUCCAUCUUUCUGAUCUUGGAAAAGCUGAACUUCCUAAAAUAAUGACGAAAUACAUAGGAUUUUACCCCUCUCCCACUUGACUGUGGAAGCGACAGUGAAUUGGAUUUUUUGCCUCUUUUUACCAACCAAAUGCUGCCUUGUUUAAUCUCUGAAUCAAUAAAACAUACUUUAUAUUUUG
This is a non-coding RNA of Caretta caretta (loggerhead turtle), 2008 nucleotides long. The record is from RefSeq and is a predicted model, not a curated record. NCBI's taxonomy places the organism in Eukaryota, Metazoa, Chordata, Testudines, Cheloniidae.